ACAGGUGCUGCAUGGCUGUCGUCAGCUCGUGUCGUGAGAGUGUUCGGGUUAAGUCCCGUAACGAGCGCAACCCUUGUCCUUAGUUACCAGCACGUUAUGGUGGGCACUCUAAGGAGACUGCCGGUGACAACCGGAGGAAGGUGGGGAUGACGUCAAGUCAUCAUGGCCCUUACGGCCUGGGCUACACACGUGCUACAAUGGUCGGUACAAAGGGUUGCCAAGCCGCGAGGUGGAGCUAAUACCCAUAAAACCGAUCGUAGUCCGGAUCGCAGUCUGCAACUCGACUGCGUGAAGUCGGAAUCGCUAGUAAUCGUGAAUCAGAAUGUCACGGUGAAUACGUUCCCGGGCCUU
Molecule: ribosomal RNA, 351 nt
Filed under: uncultured Pseudomonas sp.
Lineage: Bacteria; Pseudomonadati; Pseudomonadota; Gammaproteobacteria; Pseudomonadales; Pseudomonadaceae
Description: bacterial SSU rRNA
Rfam family: Bacterial small subunit ribosomal RNA
Source: RNAcentral